RNAcentral lists this ribosomal RNA (482 nucleotides) under uncultured bacterium. RNAcentral describes it as "partial 16S ribosomal RNA". It matches the Rfam family "Bacterial small subunit ribosomal RNA", at positions 30 to 507 of the family's 1533-position model. The record is from RNAcentral.
AUUGAACGCUGGCGGCAUGCCUUACACAUGCAAGUCGAACGGUAACGGGCCUUCGGGUGCCGACGAGUGGCGAACGGGUGAGUAAUACAUCGGAACGUGCCCGAUCGUGGGGGAUAACGAGGCGAAAGCUUUGCUAAUACCGCAUACGAUCUACGGAUGAAAGCAGUGGACCGCAAGGCCUUGCGCGGACGGAGCGGCCGAUGGCAGAUUAGGUAGUUGGUGGGAUAAAAGCUUACCAAGCCGACGAUCUGUAGCUGGUCUGAGAGGAUGAUCAGCCACACUGGGACUGAGACACGGCCCAGACUCCUACGGGAGGCAGCAGUGGGGAAUUUUGGACAAUGGGCGCAAGCCUGAUCCAGCCAUGCCGCGUGCAGGAUGAAGGCCUUCGGGUUGUAAACUGCUUUUGUACGGAACGAAAAGCCUUCUUUUAAUACAGGAGGGUCAUGACGGUACCGUAAGAAUAAGCACCGGCUAACUACGUG